AUUAUGAUCUGAUAUGUAACAUGCAUUCUGAUUGGUCCGUUUUGUUUGGGCUCUUCCAAUUGGCCUGUGAAAAUUUCAAAUGAUUGGCGCUAAAAGUGGAUAGAUUAAAGGCUACUAUACAAGACAGGGCGGACUACAAAAGCCGGAUUCGAGUCGUGCGAAUCUGGACCAAGCUUGCCGUUGUCCUGGAAAUAUUGCCGUAAAGUGGACGUGUUGCGGACGGGGAGGGGCUUCCGAGCCGAUUCGUCAAUCAGAUAUUUCAGGACUCGAUCGUCAGCCCCAACGAUCUCGAACUUUCUGCCAUGAAUGAUCAAAAUUGACCCUGAAGAGGAAGGACGGGAAUAAUAGGCUCUGGUGACGGCAACGUGACGGUCUUCUGCGGCUUUACCUCCUUACCCAAGACAUGUUGAAUGUAUUGUUUGGUAAAAGCGUCGCAAUCAUAGAUGUAGAACCUACAAUAGAAGAAAUUCCGUUUCUCAAUAGUGGAACAGACGUAACCAUGUCCGUGGCAUGAGAGGAAGGCCGUGUCUUUGUGACAUAUUGACACAUGACAUGCGUCCAUCCAAACCAUUUGGUGCCAUAAGAAGAGAAAAUAAUUGUUAGUAUAUAGGAGCGUUUCAUUGUGGAAAGUCCACUUUGAAGUACAUCCUUAUGAGUUUCUUUCAAAACAUCGUCGAUGAUCAACCUGAAGAAAUUUUACAGGGCCUUCGGGUGUCAAAAUAAAAUAAAAGGGCUGUUCAAAUUGCAAAAGCUACAUCAGACUCCUGACGAGACUGUCAAGGUUUUUCAAUGUCCCCAUCUCUCUCUGACGAGAAAUACGUUAUAUAACCUUUUGAUGUCCAGAUUACAUUUCUUUUUCUUUGACUCCAAGAGGAAAAUUGAACACGAUGCCUCAACUCAUUUCUACCAUGUGGCCUUUCAUCUCAGAUGAACAGGAAUGGACGACUUGCAGAUACAGAUAGCCCACGUCCUCCUCCGCAAUUGGAACUUUUCAUGAGGUCAUCAAUCGGAAAGAGUACCAGAGGAGGUAAAUUGGGACCAAAAAGACCAUGGAAGAAUGACGUCACGAACAACACCAAGACAAUGAAAAUCAAAUGAGGAGCAUGUUCGUUGUGCAUUGAUCACAAAGAAAUGAACAACCCAUUUGAAAAUUCAUCAAAUAAUUCUGGCAGAUUUUUCAACUUACCU
Long non-coding RNA from Tigriopus californicus, 1188 nucleotides. RefSeq lists it as uncharacterized. The transcript is spliced from 3 exons. The record is from RefSeq and is a predicted model, not a curated record. NCBI's taxonomy places the organism in Eukaryota, Metazoa, Arthropoda, Copepoda, Harpacticoida, Harpacticidae.